This 422-nucleotide ribosomal RNA is filed under the name uncultured bacterium. RNAcentral's name for it is "bacterial SSU rRNA". It matches the Rfam family "Bacterial small subunit ribosomal RNA", at positions 355 to 774 of the family's 1533-position model. The record is from RNAcentral.
UAAGGAAUAUUGGUCAAUGGGCGGAAGCCUGAACCAGCCAUCCCGCGUGCAGGAUGACUGCCCUAUGGGUUGUAAACUGCUUUUAUCUGGGAAUAAACCACUCUAUUUAUGGGGUGUUGAAGGUACCAGAAGAAUAAGCACCGGCUAACUCCGUGCCAGCAGCCGCGGUAAUACGGAGGGUGCAAGCGUUAUCCGGAAUCACUGGGUUUAAAGGGUGCGUAGGCGGCCUAAUAAGUCAGAGGUGAAAGGCUACAGCUUAACUGUGGAAUUGCCUUUGAUACUGUUAGGCUUGAAUAAGGAUGAGGUUGGCGGAAUGUGGCAUGUAGCGGUGAAAUGCAUAGAUAUGCCAUAGAACACCAAUUGCGAAGGCAGCUAACUGGGCCUUUAUUGACGCUGAGGCACGAAAGCGUGGGGAUCAAACA